ACAUGUAGGUUGGGGUACAUCAUAAACAGAUAGUAACAGCAGUGUACAUGUAGGUUGGGUAAAGGAACUAUGAGUACAUCAUAAACAGAUAGUAACAGCAGUGUACAUGUAGGUUGGGGUAAAGGAACUAUGAGUACAUCAUAAACAGAUAGUAACAGCAGUGUACAUGUAGGUUGGGUAAAGGAACUAUGAGUACAUCAUAAACAGAUAGUAACAGCAGUGUACAUGUAGGUUGGGGUAAAGGGACUAUGAGUACAUCAUAAACAGAUAGUAACAGCAGUGUACAUGUAGGUUGGGGUAAAGGAACUAUGAGUACAUCAUAAACAGAUAGUAACAGCAGUGUACAUGUAGGUUGGGGUAAAGGAACUAUGAGUACAUCAUAAACAGAUAGUAACAGCAGUGUACAUGUAGGUUGGGGUAAAGUGACUAUGAGUACAUCAUAAACAGAUAGUAACAGCAGUGUACAUGUAGGUUGGGGUAAAGGAACUAUGAGUACAUCAUAAACAGAUAGUAACAGCAGUGUACAUGUAGGUUGGGGUAAAGGAACUAUGAGUACAUCAUAAACAGAUAGUAACAGCAGUGUACAUGUAGGUUGGGUAAAGGGACUAUGAGUACAUCAUAAACAGAUAGUAACAGCAGUGUACAUGUAGGUUGGGUAAAGGGACUAUGAGUACAUCAUAAACAGAUAGUAACAGCAGUGUACAUGUAGGUUGGGGUAAAGGGACUAUGAGUACAUCAUAAACAGAUAGUAACAGCAGUGUACAUGUAGGUUGGGGUAAAGGGACUAUGAGUACAUCAUAAACAGAUAGUAACAGCAGUGUACAUGUAGGUUGGGGUACAUCAUAAACAGAUAGUAACAGCAGUGUACAUGUAGGUUGGGUAAAGGAACUAUGAGUACAUCAUAAACAGAUAGUAACAGCAGUGUACAUGUAGGUUGGGGUAAAGGAACUAUGAGUACAUCAUAAACAGAUAGUAACAGCAGUGUACAUGUAGGUUGGGGUAAAGGAACUAUGAGUACAUCAUAAACAGAUAGUAACAGCAGUGUACAUGUAGGUUGGGGUAAAGUGACUAUGAGUACAUCAUAAACAGAUAGUAACAGCAGUGUACAUGUAGGUUGGGGUAAAGGAACUAUGAGUACAUCAUAAACAGAUAGUAACAGCAGUGUACAUGUAGGUUGGGUAAAGGGACUAUGAGUACAUCAUAAACAGAUAGUAACAGCAGUGUACAUGUAGGUUGGGUAAAGGGACUAUGAGUACAUCAUAAACAGAUAGUAACAGCAGUGUACAUGUAGGUUGGGUAAAGGAACUAUGAGUACAUCAUAAACAGAUAGUAACAGCAGUGUACAUGUAGGUUGGGGUAAAGGAACUAUGAGUACAUCAUAAACAGAUAGUAACAGCAGUGUACAUGUAGGUUGGGGUACAUCAUAAACAGAUAGUAACAGCAGUGUACAUGUAGGUUGGGUAAAGGAACUAUGAGUACAUCAUAAACAGAUAGUAACAGCAGUGUACAUGUAGGUUGGGUAAAGGAACUAUGAGUACAUCAUAAACAGAUAGUAACAGCAGUGUACAUGUAGGUUGGGUAAAGGAACUAUGAGUACAUCAUAAACAGAUAGUAACAGCAGUGUACAUGUAGGUUGGGGUAAAGGAACUAUGAGUACAUCAUAAACAGAUAGUAACAGCAGUGUACAUGUAGGUUGGGGUAAAGUGACUAUGAGUACAUCAUAAACAGAUAGUAACAGCAGUGUACAUGUAGGUUGGGUAAAGGGACUAUGAGUACAUCAUAAACAGAUAGUAACAGCAGUGUACAUGUAGGUUGGGUAAAGGAACUAUGAGUACAUCAUAAACAGAUAGUAACAGCAGUGUACAUGUAGGUUGGGGUAAAGGAACUAUGAGUACAUCAUAAACAGAUAGUAACAGCAGUGUACAUGUAGGUUGGGUAAAGGGACUAUGAGUACAUCAUAAACAGAUAGUAACAGCAGUGUACAUGUAGGUUGGGUAAAGGAACUAUGAGUACAUCAUAAACAGAUAGUAACAGCAGUGUACAUGUAGGUUGGGUAAAGGGACUAUGAGUACAUCAUAAACAGAUAGUAACAGCAGUGUACAUGUAGGUUGGGUAAAGUGACUAUGAGUACAUCAUAAACAGAUAGUAACAGCAGUGUACAUGUAGGUUGGGGUAAAGGAACUAUGAGUACAUCAUAAACAGAUAGUAACAGCAGUGUACAUGUAGGUUGGGGUAAAGGGACUAUGAGUACAUCAUAAACAGAUAGUAACAGCAGUGUACAUGUAGGUUGGGUAAAGUGACUAUGAGUACAUCAUAAACAGAUAGUAACAGCAGUGUACAUGUAGGUUGGGUAAAGGAACUAUGAGUACAUCAUAAACAGAUAGUAACAGCAGUGUACAUGUAGGUUGGGUAAAGGGACUAUGAGUACAUCAUAAACAGAUAGUAACAGCAGUGUACAUGUAGGUUGGGGUAAAGGAACUAUGAGUACAUCAUAAACAGCUAGUAACAGCAGUGUAAAAACUAAGGAGGGGGGGGGGGGGUCAAUGCAAAUAGUCUGGUGGCCAUUUGAUUAGCUGUUCGAGAGUCUUAUGUCUGGGGGAUAGAAGCUGUCAAGGAGCCUUUUGGUCC
This is a non-coding RNA of Oncorhynchus mykiss (rainbow trout), 2628 nucleotides long. Lineage: Eukaryota; Metazoa; Chordata; Actinopteri; Salmoniformes; Salmonidae. The record is from RefSeq and is a predicted model, not a curated record.